This 27-nucleotide non-coding RNA is filed under the name Cricetulus griseus (Chinese hamster). The record is from RNAcentral. Lineage: Eukaryota; Metazoa; Chordata; Mammalia; Rodentia; Cricetidae.
CGAAAAAGUAGAACUGUGUGAAGCAGU